Molecule: ribosomal RNA, 395 nt
Filed under: uncultured bacterium
Lineage: Bacteria
Description: bacterial SSU rRNA
Rfam family: Bacterial small subunit ribosomal RNA
Source: RNAcentral
AUUGAACGCUGGCGGCAUGCCUUACACAUGCAAGUCGAACGGCAGCACGGGAGCAAUCCUGGUGGCGAGUGGCGAACGGGUGAGUAAUAUAUCGGAACGUGCCCGGUCGUGGGGGAUAACGUAGCGAAAGCUACGCUAAUACCGCAUACGAUCUACGGAUGAAAGCGGGGGAUCGCAAGACCUCGCGCGAUUGGAGCGGCCGAUAUCAGAUUAGGUAGUUGGUGAGGUAAAGGCUCACCAAGCCGACGAUCUGUAGCUGGUCUGAGAGGACGACCAGCCACACUGGGACUGAGACACGGCCCAGACUCCUACGGGAGGCAGCAGUGGGGGAAUUUUGGGACAAUGGGCGCAAGCCUGAUCCAGCAAUGCCGCGUGCAGGAUGAAGGCUCGGUUGU